RNAcentral lists this ribosomal RNA (497 nucleotides) under uncultured bacterium. RNAcentral describes it as "partial 16S ribosomal RNA". It matches the Rfam family "Bacterial small subunit ribosomal RNA", at positions 28 to 507 of the family's 1533-position model. The record is from RNAcentral.
GAUGAACGCUGGCGGCGUGCCUAAUACAUGCCAGUCGAGCGAACGGACGAGAAGCUUGCUUCUCUGAUGUUAGCGGCGGACGGGUGAGUAACACGUGGAUAACCUACCUAUAAGACUGGGAUAACUUCGGGAAACCGUAGCUAAUACCGGAUAAUAUUUUGAACCGCAUGGUUCAAAAGUGAAAGACGGUCUUGCUGUCACUUAUAGAUGGAUCCGCGCUGCAUUAGCUAGUUGGUAUGGUAACGGCUUACCAAGGCAACGAUGCAUAGCCGACCUGAGAGGGUGAUCGGCCACACUGGAACUGAGACACGGUCCAGACUCCUACGGGAGGCAGCAGUAGGGAAUCUUCCGCAAUGGGCGAAAGCCUGACGGAGCAACGCCGCGUGAGUGAUGAAGGUCUUCGGAUCGUAAAACUCUGUUAUUAGGGAAGAACAUAUGUGUAAGUAACUGUGCACAUCUUGACGGUACCUAAUCAGAAAGCCACGGCUAACUACGUG